Molecule: long non-coding RNA, 650 nt
Organism: Dromaius novaehollandiae (emu)
Lineage: Eukaryota; Metazoa; Chordata; Aves; Casuariiformes; Dromaiidae
Exons: 2
Source: RefSeq, a predicted model, not a curated record
CUUCCCUUCACCUGUCCUCACUGGUCAACAGGCUUUGCCUGCACCACACGCACCAUGUCUUCCGGAUGCUGCUCUGGUCGUAACAACAACAGCGGGAACAGCUACACCGUGUGCUGCUACAGCCAGCAGUCCUGCUGCAAGACCCCGUGCUGCUCGCCCAUGCAGUACUGCUGCCCCAAGACCUGCUGCCUGCCCGCGCAGAGCUGCUGCCCCAUGCCGGCCUACUGCUACACCGUGAGCACGAACAACAACAACAACAACAGCUGCUGCGGCGGCUGCGGCUGCUGAUCCCGCUCGGCGCAGGCGGGCAGCGCGGUCGUCCCCUCCACCGCUGCACGGCCCGCUGCUUCCCGGCCGGCUCGCACGGUGUCGGAUGUGGAUACGGACAUGGCCCUACGCUCCUCCUUGCUUAGAGACGUUCUCUCCUCUUCUUCGCCUGCCUUUCAUUAGCGAAUGCCUGUGAUGUGCUUUUGAAGUUGCUACCUGCUCAACAGUGAGAGAUGUUCCUUUGUAAGCCUUAGUCCUGCUGCUAAUUUUCCUUUUGGUGCACGGGAUGUUUAAUGCUGUUGCUCUAUCAAACUCCACUUUCUUGCUUUAAUCUCCAAGUAGUCAUAAAGGGCAAUAAAAGCUAUAGUUUAUGACUUUGCAAA